Molecule: long non-coding RNA, 1303 nt
Filed under: Marmota monax (woodchuck)
Lineage: Eukaryota; Metazoa; Chordata; Mammalia; Rodentia; Sciuridae
Source: RNAcentral
CACAGUUUGAGGAACUCGCCUGAUGUCACAGAGAAAGAAAACCAGGAUCCAAAGCCACCAACAUAGAGCACUUUCUGUGGCUCCCUUGCUGCCCCUCACCCCUGCUGGUCUCCAUGUCCUGCAACAGGCCAGGGCAGGGUUACCUAUAAAAGGGGUUCAGGCCCAUCCCACUCUCCUGCUGUGGUAGUUCUACUACUUUUUUUUUUUUCAUUUUUUUUCCUCUUGCAAAUAAAUAGGCUUGAAUCCCAGCUGCAAGGACCACGCCAGAUGCCCGCUUUGUCAUUCUUUCAAUUGCUCACCUGGCUUCAAGACCUUCCCUGCUCAGUCUGGCCACCCUCCCCUCUCAGCCUUCCUCGGGUGGCCACACCCAGCUUUCUUUCUUCCUAUCCUAUUCAGUCCUCUGGCUUCAAGGCCAGGUUUUCAUUUCGCUAUAUAAACCUUGCUUCAGGUGUUAUUUUAUGGACAGGCUCUAGAGGAAAAAAAAAAAAAAGCAGUCAAUAAAUAUGUGUUGAAUUGUGUGCUAAACUCUAGACAAAGAAAGGAAAAUCUUUGGAUCGCGAAGACGACAGAAAGGCUGCGGGUGGGGGCGGGGCAACCAUGAAUUUGACUCUUCCUCCUGCUCUCGGGGUCCUCUUUGGAUGCCUCCCUCCCACCCUGGGCCGGCCAGGCCGCCACCGCGUGUUUAGCCUUAGUGCUGUCAUCUGAUUACGGUAACAUCCAAACAGAUUGAAGCCCCAAAUCAAUGCCAGAGCAGAAGUGCACGCGCGGGGGGGUGGUUUCCUUGGAAAUGCUUCAGUUAUAAUUAACCUCCAAAGAGAGCCAUCCAAACAAGUUCCUUGACCCUCUGGGGAGAAGAAGGAACAAUGGAACUGCAAGGGAAGCCAUUUCUGCCAGCCGCGGGGGCGUGUGUGCCCGCGCCGGGUCCCACCUUCGCAGCGCACUGUCCAUAGAUGGCCUCUGACAGUCCCAGUAUUCAAACGUCGGGGCCGGGGGUUGGCGGCUGCGGUGCCUGCUGCUGCCACGGCUGAGAUCAUGCCGUUGGUCUUGUUUUACCGAGAGCAGCCCAGCCUGUUGUGCCGAGUACAGAACGUUCUCUUCUGUGAACUGAGCUUGAACUCUUCCAACCCACUUUGUUUGAGGAACCACACAGACACAGAAGAAAACGACAGGGAAGAUAACCCCCCAAAUCCUUGAAAUCCUGGUGUUCGCUGCACUUUGGGUUUGGGCCAUUCGCUUUGCACGACUCAGAAUGAAAAAAAUCCCAAGCAUUACACUUCUUGGAAGAACAAAAUGCUUGUGAUGU